UACGGAGGGUGCAAGCGUUAUCCGGAAUCACUGGGUUUAAAGGGUGCGUAGGCGGUUUGAUAAGUCAGUUGUGAAAUUCACCGGCUUAACCGGUAGAACUGCGAUUGAUACUGUUAGACUUGAAUCAGGUUGAGGUAGGCGGAAUGUGGCAUGUAGCGGUGAAAUGCAUAGAUAUGCCAUAGAACACCGAUUGCGAAGGCAGCUUGCUGGACCUAGAUUGACGCUGAGGCACGAAAGCGUGGGGAGCAAACAGG
This 254-nucleotide ribosomal RNA is filed under the name uncultured bacterium. Its description in RNAcentral is "partial 16S ribosomal RNA". It matches the Rfam family "Bacterial small subunit ribosomal RNA", at positions 524 to 776 of the family's 1533-position model. The record is from RNAcentral.